ACGGCCGUACCAUGCUGAAUAUACCGGUUCUCGUUAGAUCACCGAAGUCAAGCAUCAUUGGGCGCAUCAGUAUUGUGAUGACCGCAACAAAAUACCGUGUGCCGUU
Non-coding RNA from Caerostris darwini, 106 nucleotides. NCBI's taxonomy places the organism in Eukaryota, Metazoa, Arthropoda, Arachnida, Araneae, Araneidae. The record is from the annotation of a GenBank genome assembly.